GUUCAAUGCGAAUGUCCGAUUUCACAGAGUUAUUUUUAACAGAGGGUGCCAUAUAAUGAUAAGGACACAACUUAAAUUCAAUAAUUGGUCUCAGUUAUCAAGGUUUUACAAGCUCACGAUUUUUUGAAAGUAGUGUUAAAGGAUUAAAAAAAAUAAUUAUAGGACGAUCCGUUCUUCA
Caenorhabditis elegans is the source of this 178-nucleotide non-coding RNA. NCBI's taxonomy places the organism in Eukaryota, Metazoa, Nematoda, Chromadorea, Rhabditida, Rhabditidae. The record is from Ensembl.